Molecule: ribosomal RNA, 448 nt
Filed under: Sphingobium sp.
Lineage: Bacteria; Pseudomonadati; Pseudomonadota; Alphaproteobacteria; Sphingomonadales; Sphingobiaceae
Description: bacterial SSU rRNA
Rfam family: Bacterial small subunit ribosomal RNA
Source: RNAcentral
AAACUUGAGAGUUUGAUCCUGGCUCAGAACGAACGCUGGCGGCAUGCCUAAUACAUGCAAGUCGAACGAAGGCUUCGGCCUUAGUGGCGCACGGGUGCGUAACGCGUGGGAAUCUACCCUUGGGUUCGGAAUAACAGAGAGAAAUUUCUGCUAAUACCGGAUAAUGACGUAAGUCCAAAGAUUUAUCGCCCAAGGAUGAGCCCGCGUAAGAUUAGCUUGUUGGUGAGGUAAAAGCUCACCAAGGCGACGAUCUUUAGCUGGUCUGAGAGGAUGAUCAGCCACACUGGGACUGAGACACGGCCCAGACUCCUACGGGAGGCAGCAGUAGGGAAUAUUGGACAAUGGGGGAAACCCUGAUCCAGCAAUGCCGCGUGUGUGAAGAAGGCCUGCGGGUUGUAAAGCACUUUUGUUCGGGAAGAAAUCAUGUCGGUUAAUACCCGGCGUGGAU